This 442-nucleotide ribosomal RNA is filed under the name uncultured bacterium. RNAcentral's name for it is "partial 16S ribosomal RNA". It matches the Rfam family "Bacterial small subunit ribosomal RNA", at positions 338 to 795 of the family's 1533-position model. The record is from RNAcentral.
CCUACGGGCGGCAGCAGUAGGGAAUCUUUCACAAUGGGCGAAAGCCUGAUGGAGCAACGCCGCGUGCAGGAUGAAGGCCUUCGGGUUGUAAACUGCUUUUAUAAGCGAGAAAUAUGAUGGUAACUUAUGAAUAAGGAUCGGCUAACUACGUGCCAGCAGCCGCGGUCAUACGUAGGAUCCGAGCAUUAUCCGGGGUGACUGGGUGUAAAGAGUUGCGUAGGUGGCAUAAUAAGUAGAUAGUGAAAUCUGGUGGCUCAACCAUUCAGACUAUUAGCUAAACUGUUAAGCUCGAGACCGUUAGGGGUAACUGGAAUUUCUAGUGUAGGAGUGAAAUCCGUAGAUAUUAGAAGGAACACCAAUAGCGUAGGCAGGUUGCUGGGACGGUUCUGACACUAAGGCACGAAAGCGUAGGGAGCAAACGGGAUUAGAUACCCUUGUAGUC